RNAcentral lists this long non-coding RNA (216 nucleotides) under Elaeis guineensis (African oil palm). RNAcentral's name for it is "long non-coding RNA (EGUI_LNC049003)". Lineage: Eukaryota; Viridiplantae; Streptophyta; Magnoliopsida; Arecales; Arecaceae. The record is from RNAcentral.
ACCAGCAUUCGAAGUCGAGGAUGGAGUCCGGCUCCCGUAGGAGUUCGAACGAAGCUUGCCUGCAGCCGAAGUUGGAGACAGAGUCCGGCUCCCGUAGGAGUCCAGAUGAAGCUUGUCUGCAAUCGAAGUAGGAGAUGGAGUCCAGCUCCCGUAGGAGCCCGGACGAAGCUUGUCUGCAGUCGAAGUAGGAGAUGGAGUCUGGCUCCCUAGGAGCCC